CCAGAGACCACUGACAAAGAAGCCCUAAUGACCUACAAAUACCGCCUACUAACGGUAAUGUGCAUAAGAGGGAGAAACAAGCUCGGCAUGAUAAUGUCCACAUACAGGAUCAACAAAGCUGCCACAGCACCAGUAGACAAACCCAGAGACACCAUAGUAGUCACGAAAAACAUGGCAACCAGAUCUAGAACCUUAGACAAUGGGCAGUUCGAGGGUAGCACAGUGGCC
Molecule: non-coding RNA, 228 nt
Organism: Pelobates cultripes (western spadefoot toad)
Lineage: Eukaryota; Metazoa; Chordata; Amphibia; Anura; Pelobatidae
Source: the annotation of a GenBank genome assembly